Molecule: transfer RNA, 357 nt
Filed under: uncultured Microcystis sp.
Lineage: Bacteria; Bacillati; Cyanobacteriota; Cyanophyceae; Chroococcales; Microcystaceae
Description: partial 16S-23S ribosomal RNA intergenic spacer
Rfam family: tRNA (bases 133-206)
Source: RNAcentral
AAGGGAGACCUAAUUCGGGUAGAAGACGAAAAAAUAGUAGUCGAAACCAAGAAUCAAUCCCAAAAGGUCGGAACGAGGUAUGUGGCUUUCAAACUAGGUUCUGGGUUCACAAAAGACCUGAAUCAGGAACAAGGGCUAUUAGCUCAGGUGGUUAGAGCGCACCCCUGAUAAGGGUGAGGUCCCUGGUUCGAGUCCAGGAUGGCCCACCUGCACAGGUGGCAAAAACAAGAGAAACGAGGAACCAGCACCUUAUCUUACUUACAUAGUAAGAGAGAAUGCUGGCUCUGAGUAAAGAGUCCAGAGGAACCUUGAAAACUGCAUAGAGCUAGGUGAAAAAGCCAAAAAAGGAGACCGCAA